This 460-nucleotide ribosomal RNA is filed under the name uncultured bacterium. RNAcentral's name for it is "partial 16S ribosomal RNA". It matches the Rfam family "Bacterial small subunit ribosomal RNA", at positions 338 to 795 of the family's 1533-position model. The record is from RNAcentral.
CCUACGGGAGGCAGCAGUGAGGAAUAUUGGUCAAUGGACGAGAGUCUGAACCAGCCAAGUAGCGUGAAGGAUGACUGCCCUAUGGGUUGUAAACUUCUUUUAUAUGAGAAUAAAAUGUUCCACGUGUGGGAUUUUGUAUGUACCAUAUGACUAAGGAUCGGCUAACUCCGUGCCAGCAGCCGCGGUAAUACGGAGGAUCCGAGCGUUAUCCGGAUUUAUUGGGUUUAAAGGGAGCGUAGGUGGAUUGUUAAGUCAGUUGUGAAAUUUUGCGGCUCAACCGUAGAAUUGCCGUUGAAACUGGCAGUCUAGAGAAUAGUAGAGGUGGGCGGAAUGUGUGGUGUAGCGGUGAAAUGCUUAGAGAUCACGAAGAACUCCGAUUGCGAAGGCAGUUCACUGGACUGCAACUGACACUGAGGCUCGAAAGUGUGGGUAGCAAACAGGAUUAGAUACCCUUGUAGUC